RNAcentral lists this ribosomal RNA (557 nucleotides) under uncultured bacterium. Its description in RNAcentral is "bacterial SSU rRNA". It matches the Rfam family "Bacterial small subunit ribosomal RNA", at positions 777 to 1331 of the family's 1533-position model. The record is from RNAcentral.
AAUAGAUACCCCGGUAGUCCACGCCGUAAACGAUGAGUGCUAAGUGUUAGGGGGUUUCCGCCCCUUAGUGCUGCAGCUAACGCAUUAAGCACUCCGCCUGGGGAGUACGGUCGCAAGACUGAAACUCAAAGGAAUUGACGGGGGGCCCGCACAAGCGGUGGAGCAUGUGGUUUAAUUCGAAGCAACGCGAAGAACCUUACCAGGUCUUGACAUCCCAUUGACCACUAUGGAGACAUAGUUUUCCCUUCGGGGACAACGGUGACAGGUGGUGCAUGGUUGUCGUCAGCUCGUGUCGUGAGAUGUUGGGUUAAGUCCCGCAACGAGCGCAACCCUUGUUCUUAGUUGCCAUCAUUUAGUUGGGCACUCUAAGGAGACUGCCGGUGACAAACCGGAGGAAGGUGGGGAUGACGUCAAAUCAUCACGCCCCUUAUGACCUGGGCUACACACGUGCUACAAUGGACGGUACAAACGGUUGCCAACCCGCGAGGGGGAGCUAAUCCGAUAAAACCGUUCUCAGUUCGGAUUGUAGGCUGCAACUCGCCUACAUGAAGCCGGAA